This is a non-coding RNA of Malus domestica (apple), 1003 nucleotides long. The record is from RefSeq and is a predicted model, not a curated record. Lineage: Eukaryota; Viridiplantae; Streptophyta; Magnoliopsida; Rosales; Rosaceae.
AGAACGAAGAGGGUUUUCUUGAUUCUUCGGGAUUUGCUUGAGAGCUUUAGAGUUUCGAGGCUUCAAGGCUUUGGUGUGUUGUGAAUUGGUUAUGAAUUGGUCCCCCAAAGUGAAUGUCUGAGUUUCCUAUUUAUAGAAUUCCAAAACUUGAUUUUUUUGAUUUAAAUAAUCAGAUGAAAUAAAUCAUUUCUGCCAAGUGUUGACACGUGUCAAGUUUGAUGACUUUUCUAAUGCUUCUCGAUUUUUCGUUGAGUCACAUGGUAUGUGUAAAAUUUAUUUGACACGUGAACGUUGAAAUUUUAAUUAUUGAUCAACAUUUAUUUCACCAAAAUUUCGAUAUCUACAAGUUUUUACCUAGAAUUCAUGGGUUUUUAUCUUUAAUGGGUUUUUAAAGAUAAAUGGUUUUCUAGACUCCAUCAUAUAAUAAAGGAGGAAGCUAAGAGUCUAAGACGUGGAUGUGUUGUUUAGCUGCCACGACUCUCGAGACUCUGAGCACACACCCUACAAAACAAAUCGUCUACUGAACUUCUCUCUCUCUCUCUUCACUCUCUCUCUCUGGAUUUUGGAUGAGUGCUAAUCCUCCCGACUGCUCAAAGUAAAGAAAUUAAUCUCAAACUCGUACUCGAUCAUGUCUCGCCUGAAGAACGACUGCUUGUCUUUCACUGUUUCAUUGCAAGAGGGUUUUCGUUAUGUUAAGGCAUGCUUCGUUGGUCAGGCUAAGAAGUUGACAGCAAGGAAUGAGAAGGAAGCAACAGAAGCUGAGCUUCAGACAGCCAAAAUGCAAGUUGAUGCAGUUGAUGCCGCUGAGGAUACCAAAAACCAAGUGAGAAGUCAAAAUAGGUGUGUGGAUAACACUACUCUUACUUUAACUUAUUUAUAAUGUGUAAAUAAUGUGCAUUCACGUAUGAUCCAACAAGUGCAUAAAACACACAACAAAUAAGAAAUAAGAAAUAGCCAGAGAGUAUGAUAACUUUAAGGUAUUAUACAUUAAAUUUUAAUAUUA